Molecule: long non-coding RNA, 559 nt
Organism: Bufo bufo (common toad)
Lineage: Eukaryota; Metazoa; Chordata; Amphibia; Anura; Bufonidae
Exons: 4
Source: RefSeq, a predicted model, not a curated record
GACAGGGAACCUAAAGUGGCCCUGGAAAAACAAAACAAAAAAAAAAGUGGCCCCAAAAGAUGGCAACACAAGUUGGCAUGUAUCUCAUGUUAGUGGUUUAACAGCUGCUGUUCCCUCAUGGUAUCUUCCUGCCUCAUGUAAGACAGAAGAUUGGCUAUCCAAAACAAGGACAUUCUGCAUUCAGUCAAUGGCAUGUACAAAAAGGAAAUUAUAUAUUCUUGGAAUAAAUACAUCAUGAAAAUGUACAUCUAACCACAUAAAAGGUUGUAUGGAAAACCAAAGGAUAGGUCAUCAGUAAAAAGAACAUCUUGGAAAACCCCUUUAAAUAGAAACAAAGUAAUACUCACGGCAAAAGUGAAAAUUCAGCUUUCUUGCAGUUUUAGAAGUCCCCCAACUAAUCACACAGUGUGGCCAUCUUAAAUGACAGAAGAGGAGACGGGGAAUUGGCAGAGCUGCAGCUAAAAAGAUGAAAAGGAGGUAACAGGUUAGUGUUCUGCUCGUUCCCCAGUUAAUAUGAUUUGUUUCUAGAACCAAAGUGUUGCUUUAAAUCAUCGUUAUU